RNAcentral lists this ribosomal RNA (333 nucleotides) under uncultured eukaryote. RNAcentral describes it as "partial 18S ribosomal RNA". It matches the Rfam family "Eukaryotic small subunit ribosomal RNA", at positions 1470 to 1796 of the family's 1831-position model. The record is from RNAcentral.
CCCUUAGAUGUCCUGGGCUGCACGCGCGCUACACUGAUGUGUUCAAUAAGCACCUAACCUACUCCGAAGGGACUGGGUAACCUUUGCAAAGCACAUCGUGAUGGGGAUAGAUUAUUGCAAUUAUUAGUCUUGAACGAGGAAUUCCUAGUAAGCGCAAGUCAUCAGCUUGUGUUGAUUACGUCCCUGCCCUUUGUACACACCGCCCGUCGCUCCUACCGAUUGAGCGGUUUAGUGAGGGCCUCGGAUUGGUCUCGGCCCGCUCUUUACCGGGCGGCGCCGUUGGUCGAGAAGACGCUCGAACCUGAUCGUUUAGAGGAAGUAAAAGUCGUAACA